RNAcentral lists this small nucleolar RNA (103 nucleotides) under Dasypus novemcinctus (nine-banded armadillo). RNAcentral's name for it is "Small nucleolar RNA SNORA44 (ENSDNOG00000029860.1)". It matches the Rfam family "Small nucleolar RNA SNORA44". Rfam says of the family: ACA44 is a member of the H/ACA class of snoRNA that guide the sites of modification of uridines to pseudouridines. The record is from RNAcentral. Lineage: Eukaryota; Metazoa; Chordata; Mammalia; Cingulata; Dasypodidae.
CAGCGUGUUCCCAAGGUCUCUGGCUGCCGUGGUCAACCUGGAGAGACUCUAACAGCCCAGGUCAGCAGAGGACCUGCCACUGCCACUCGACUUUCCUAUAAUG